This 357-nucleotide ribosomal RNA is filed under the name Chloroflexota bacterium. RNAcentral describes it as "bacterial SSU rRNA". It matches the Rfam family "Bacterial small subunit ribosomal RNA", at positions 7 to 359 of the family's 1533-position model. The record is from RNAcentral. Lineage: Bacteria; Bacillati; Chloroflexota.
GAGAGUUUGAUCCUGGCUCAGAAUGAACGUUAGCGGCGUGCCUGAUGCAUGCAAGUCGAACGCUCUGAUAAUCCGCAAGGGUUAUCAGGGAGUGGCGAACGGCUGAGUAACGCGUAAGUGACCUACCUUGGAGUGGGGGAUAACUUGCCGAAAGGCAAGCUAAUACCGCAUGUGCUAGUAAGUUAAAUCACAUUCAUUAGCAAAGCCUUAGGGCGCUCUAAGAGGGGCUUGCGUCUGAUUAGCUAGUUGGUAGGGUAAUGGCCUACCAAGGCGAUGAUCAGUAGCUGGUCUGAGAGGACAACCAGCCAGACGGGGACUGAGACACGGCCCUGACUCCUACGGGAGGCAGCAGCAAGG